GAGGGUAUAGCUCAAACUGGUAGAGCGCAUGCUUUGCAUGCACGAGGUCAUGGGUUCAUUCCCCAGUAACUCCU
This 74-nucleotide transfer RNA is filed under the name Camelus bactrianus (Bactrian camel). It matches the Rfam family "tRNA". Rfam says of the family: Transfer RNA (tRNA) molecules are approximately 80 nucleotides in length. Their secondary structure includes four short double-helical elements and three loops (D, anti-codon, and T loops). RNAcentral also lists the same sequence under 2 other names. Lineage: Eukaryota; Metazoa; Chordata; Mammalia; Artiodactyla; Camelidae. The record is from Rfam by way of RNAcentral.